GGUUAAGUGACUAAGCGUACACGGUGGAUGCCUUGGCAGUCAGAGGCGAUGAAAGACGUAGUAACUUGCGAUAAGCCCAGAUUAGGUAGUAACAACCAUUUGAGUCUGGGAUUUCUGAAUGGGGAAACCCACUUACAUAAGUAAGUAUCGUUAUGUGAAUACAUAGCAUAACGAGGCGAACCGGGGGAACUGAAACAUCUAAGUACCCCGAGGAAAAGAAAUCAACCGAGAUUCCGAAAGUAGCGGCGAGCGAAAUUGGACUAGCCCUUAAGCUUUACACGCGUUAGACGAACGGUCUGGAAAGUCCGACGAUACAGGGUGAUAGUCCCGUAGUUGACGACGUGUGUUCAGUGAAAUCGAGUAGGGCGGGACACGUGAUAUCCUGUCUGAAUAUGGGGGGACCAUCCUCCAAGGCUAAAUACUACUGACUGACCGAUAGUGAACCAGUACCGUGAGGGAAAGGCGAAAAGAACCCCUGUGAGGGGAGUGAAAUAGAACCUGAAACCGUGUACGUACAAGCAGUAGGAGCAGGCUUUGUCCUGUGACUGCGUACCUUUUGUAUAAUGGGUCAGCGACUUAUAUUCAGUGGCAAGGUUAACCAUCUAGGGGAGCCGUAGGGAAACCGAGUCUUAACUGGGCGUUCAGUCUCUGGAUAUAGACCCGAAACCAGGUGAUCUAGCCAUGGGCAGGUUGAAGGUUGAGUAACAUCAACUGGAGGACCGAACCGACUAAUGUUGAAAAAUUAGCGGAUGACUUGUGGCUAGGGGUGAAAGGCCAAUCAAACCUGGAGAUAGCUGGUUCUCCCCGAAAGCUAUUUAGGUAGCGCCUCGGACGAAUACUACUGGGGGUAGAGCACUGUUAAGGCUAGGGGGUCAUCCCGACUUACCAACCCUUUGCAAACUCCGAAUACCAGUAAGUACUAUCCGGGAGACACACGGCGGGUGCUAACGUCCGUCGUGGAGAGGGAAACAACCCAGACCGCCAGCUAAGGUCCCAAAUUACUACUAAGUGGGAAACGAUGUGGGAAGGCUCAGACAGCCAGGAUGUUGGCUUAGAAGCAGCCAUCAUUUAAAGAAAGCGUAAUAGCUCACUGGUCGAGUCGGCCUGCGCGGAAGAUGUAACGGGGCUAAGUA
This 1133-nucleotide ribosomal RNA is filed under the name Vibrio parahaemolyticus. RNAcentral's name for it is "partial 23S ribosomal RNA". It matches the Rfam family "Bacterial large subunit ribosomal RNA", at positions 1 to 1188 of the family's 2925-position model. The record is from RNAcentral. Lineage: Bacteria; Pseudomonadati; Pseudomonadota; Gammaproteobacteria; Vibrionales; Vibrionaceae.